ACCUAAGCGGGAGAAGAAUAUCAGAAGAGAUAGCUUACGUGUGGCAGCUACGCCUUUAUAGCAACAUUGCUUUUUGGUCCUUUGGCGUUGACUCUUCCUAUCGUACCGAAGCAGAAUUCUGUAUUGUAUACCCACUAAUAGGGAACAAGACUUGCUGGAGUUUAUACCGUCGUGAGAGAGGUUAGUUUUACCCUGCUUAUGAAAAGAUGCUGCAAUAAACAGCUAGUACUAGAGGAACCGUUCAUCCAGGUAAUUGAUUAGUACCAGUGCCUUCCUGAGCAGUCAAUGACCUCAAGUCCCCAUCCGUUGGGUUAUGGCUGGACGCAUCCAAGUUGGAAUCCGUGCUAGAACGUGGCGAUUACCACCUUUUCCGAUUUCUCUAGUUGAAUACAAAUACAUACAAAUAGAGGGCACACACAGCUACGCCUAAACCACCCUUUCUAGUUGGAUAAGAAAUGCGAACCUACGUUCGCGGCGACGUGAGAAGUUGAGUAGCCCUUCUUUACUUUACCCGUUAGUCCACGAUACAGUGGUGAUCGAUACUUCGGCCUGGGACCAUACAGGUUAAAGCAAGGCUUUUGUUAUCGUGCUGAAAG
Molecule: ribosomal RNA, 596 nt
Rfam family: Eukaryotic large subunit ribosomal RNA
Source: Rfam